GAUGAACGCUGGCGGCGUGCCUAAUACAUGCAAGUCGAGCGAACAGACGAGGAGCUUGCUCCUCUGACGUUAGCGGCGGACGGGUGAGUAACACGUGGAUAACCUACCUAUAAGACUGGGAUAACUUCGGGAAACCGGAGCUAAUACCGGAUAAUAUAUUGAACCGCAUGGUUCAAUAGUGAAAGACGGUUUUGCUGUCACUUAUAGAUGAAUUCGGGCCGCAUUAGUUAGUUGGUAAGUUAACGGCUUACCAAGGGGACGAUGCGUAGCCGACCUGAGAGGGUGAUGGGCCACCCUGGAACUGAGCCACGGUCAAGACUCCUACGGGAGGCGGCAGAAGGGAAUCUUCGGAAAUGGGCGAAAGCCUGACGGAGCAACGCGGCGUGGGUGAUGAAGUUCUUCGGAUCGUAAAACUCUGUUAUUGGGGAAGAACAAAUGUGUAAGUAACUAUGCACGUCUUGACGGUACCUAAUCAGAAAGCCACGGCUAACUACGUG
Molecule: ribosomal RNA, 497 nt
Filed under: uncultured bacterium
Lineage: Bacteria
Description: partial 16S ribosomal RNA
Rfam family: Bacterial small subunit ribosomal RNA
Source: RNAcentral